AGUAACGCGUGAGUAACCUGCCUUACACAAGGGGAUAGCCUUUGGAAACGAAGAAUAAUACCCUAUAAAACCAUAAAAGCACAUGCUAGAAUGGUCAAAGUGAUAGCGGUGUAAGAUGGACUUGCGUCUGAUUAGCUAGUUGGUGAGAUAAAAGCUCACCAAGGCAACGAUCAGUAGCCGGCUUGAGAGAGUGUACGGCCACAUUGGGACUGAGACACGGCCCAG
Molecule: ribosomal RNA, 225 nt
Filed under: uncultured Eubacteriales bacterium
Lineage: Bacteria; Bacillati; Bacillota; Clostridia; Eubacteriales
Description: uncultured Clostridiales bacterium partial 16S ribosomal RNA
Rfam family: Bacterial small subunit ribosomal RNA
Source: RNAcentral